CACGUAGGGUGCAAGCGUUAAUCGGAAUUACUGGGCGUAAAGCGUGCGCAGGCGGUUUUGCAAGACAGAUGUGAAAUCCCCGGGCUUAACCUGGGAACUGCAUUUGUGACUGCAAGGCUAGAGUGUGUCAGAGGGAGGUGGAAUUCCGCGUGUAGCAGUGAAAUGCGUAGAGAUGCGGAGGAACACCGAUGGCGAAGGCAGCCUCCUGGGAUAACACUGACGCUCAUGCACGAAAGCGUGGGGAGCAAACAGG
RNAcentral lists this ribosomal RNA (253 nucleotides) under uncultured bacterium. RNAcentral describes it as "partial 16S ribosomal RNA". It matches the Rfam family "Bacterial small subunit ribosomal RNA", at positions 524 to 776 of the family's 1533-position model. The record is from RNAcentral.